UACGGAGGGAGCUAGCGUUGUUCGGAAUUACUGGGCGUAAAGCGCACGUAGGCGGCUUUUUAAGUCAGGGGUGAAAUCCCGGGGCUCAACCCCGGAACUGCCCUUGAAACUGGAGAGCUAGAAUCUUGGAGAGGCGAGUGGAAUUCCGAGUGUAGAGGUGAAAUUCGUAGAUAUUCGGAAGAACACCAGUGGCGAAGGCGGUCUGCUGGGGUAAUGCUGACACUGAGGCGCGACAGCGUGGGGGAGCAAACAGG
This 254-nucleotide ribosomal RNA is filed under the name uncultured bacterium. RNAcentral describes it as "partial 16S ribosomal RNA". It matches the Rfam family "Bacterial small subunit ribosomal RNA", at positions 524 to 776 of the family's 1533-position model. The record is from RNAcentral.